Molecule: long non-coding RNA, 1408 nt
Filed under: Salmo salar (Atlantic salmon)
Lineage: Eukaryota; Metazoa; Chordata; Actinopteri; Salmoniformes; Salmonidae
Description: lncRNA (ENSSSAG00000099772.1)
Source: RNAcentral
GGGGUAUCAAGGGGGCUAAUUAGAGAGGGGUGUUGAGGGGGGUUGGAUCUGUAAACCAUCAGGCAGUGACUGGCAGCCCCACUGGGUUUGUCAUCACAGCUUCAGAAACUGUAACAGGCCCUUAUGUUUCCUUCCUAACUACGGAGUAAUUAACGGUUCCCCUCAGACUCUCAAUAGGCCUAUACUCUGUUACACCAAGAAGUUGCACACAGUAGAGCUCAGUGACCGUGAUGUAAGUUUAGAUGUGCAGCAUUGUAAAUGAGGACCAUGGAGCUUAACCCACCCUGUUGGACAGUCAUUCAUUAACCCCUUGUAACAUCUGUACUAUCUCCACCUAGCAUCUACACACCAGCCGGCCAGUAAUGACAGACAGACUGACAGACAGACACACCCGAUCUGUAAUAAAACACACAGACACCUUCACAAUCACAUGCACGCACAACCUCUGAAUAAUGACAGACAGACUGACAGAAAGAGAGAGCACAGGAACUUCAAAAGAACAGGAGAAAUGGAAAAUACUAAACACAGGUGCUUCUGUUUCAGCCACAAAACAAACCACAGCUAUGUACAACUCUGUAAUAGUAGGCUUUAGCUUCUCCUACCCAUCUAACAAAGUCACAAUUCAUGAGUUUGUCCACCACUGAGUGCCACUGCCACAGACUGAAAACUCCACACUCCUCUGUUUUUUUGUCCCUCCUCUUUCCCGCUAACACUGGUCCUGAAACAACCUCUGUUCUCCGAGUUUCCUCAAUCACUCUCCUCUUGGUAAUUAAUAGAUUCAGUCACUAAAACAACACCAUUAAAGGAGAGAAGGAGAAUGUAAAUGCACCAUCUUGGCUUCAGCUAUUAUCUUGGCUAACAUAGCUAUGGAUUGUUCUACAUCCUACCCUGAUUCAGAUAUACACUCAUUGUCUUGGCAUGCUUGAUUCAAUAGCUCUUGAGGUGAGAAUAUAUAAAGCGAACUUUACCUCGGUGCCGAACCAAAACAAAUACCUACCGGCUCUCUAAAAAGUCAGGUAAACAAUACUUUCCUAUGGAUAUUUUGCCUCAAAUUUCAAGCAGCUGAAGGACAAAGCGCACAGACAACCGGUAGAGUAAGUUUAAAUAUAAUUGUAUCCAACAUUCUGGCUUGUAAGGAACAUAUACACGAUUUUGCAGGCAUUCGUUUCAGGCUGUAUAUACCAAUGAAUUGUGUAUUACAGCCUGAUUUAUCAGACUAGAGUAGGGUUCGGGUAGACUAGACUAAAGUGAGGACUAGGUUUUGGGACUGGGCCAUGGUCAAGGAUCAGGGCUGUACAGCAAAUCCCCUAUGUGGAGGUCGUGAACAGUGUUGAAGGGACAAGAGGCCACAGUUCUGAAGAAGAUAUGGCGGUGGAUGAACCACAAGCAGUUGCAAAUGUUAUAUGUU